RNAcentral lists this ribosomal RNA (276 nucleotides) under uncultured bacterium. RNAcentral describes it as "partial 16S ribosomal RNA". The record is from RNAcentral.
CUGCUGCCUUCCGUAGGAGUCUGGUCCGUGUCUCAGUACCAGUGUGGGGGGCCUUCCUCUCAGAACCCCUACGCAUCGUCGCCUCGGUGGGCCGUUACCCCGCCGACUAGCUAAUGCGCCGCAUGCCCAUCCGUGGCCGGGAUUGCUCCCUUUGGCGGCCUUGGGAUGCCCCAAGGCCGCGUUACGCGGUAUUAGACGGGGUUUCCCCCGCUUAUCCCCCUGCCACGGGCAGGUUGCAUACGUGUUACUCACCCGUGCGCCGGUCGCCGGCAACGG